RNAcentral lists this transfer RNA (72 nucleotides) under Ictidomys tridecemlineatus (thirteen-lined ground squirrel). RNAcentral's name for it is "Spermophilus tridecemlineatus (thirteen-lined ground squirrel) tRNA". It matches the Rfam family "tRNA". Rfam says of the family: Transfer RNA (tRNA) molecules are approximately 80 nucleotides in length. Their secondary structure includes four short double-helical elements and three loops (D, anti-codon, and T loops). Further hydrogen bonds mediate the characteristic L-shaped molecular structure. tRNAs have two regions of fundamental functional importance: the anti-codon, which is responsible for specific mRNA codon recognition, and the 3' end, to which the tRNAs corresponding amino acid is attached (by aminoacyl-tRNA synthetases). tRNAs cope with the degeneracy of the genetic code in two manners: having more than one tRNA (with a specific anti-codon) for a particular amino acid; and 'wobble' base-pairing, i.e. permitting non-standard base-pairing at the 3rd anti-codon position. The record is from Rfam by way of RNAcentral. Lineage: Eukaryota; Metazoa; Chordata; Mammalia; Rodentia; Sciuridae.
AGGGUUGUAGCUCAGUGGUUGAGCACUUGCCUGGCAUGUAAGAGGAACUGGGUUUGAUUCUCAGCACCACAU